UUUCCGUAGGCGAACCUGCGGAAGGAUCAUUACUGAGUGAGGGCCCCUCGGGGUCCAACCUCCCACCCGUGUUUAACGAACCUUGUUGCUUCGGCGGGCCCGCCUCACGGCCGCCGGGGGGCAUUUGCCCCCGGGCCCGCGCCCGCCAACCCACCUGUGAACGCUGUCUGAAGUAAGCAGUCUGAGACAAUUAGUAAAUUAAUUAAAACUUUCAACAACGGAUCUCUUGGUUCCG
This 235-nucleotide unclassified non-coding RNA is filed under the name plant metagenome. RNAcentral describes it as "partial contains small subunit ribosomal RNA, internal transcribed spacer 1, and 5.8S ribosomal RNA". The record is from RNAcentral.